Molecule: ribosomal RNA, 497 nt
Filed under: uncultured bacterium
Lineage: Bacteria
Description: partial 16S ribosomal RNA
Rfam family: Bacterial small subunit ribosomal RNA
Source: RNAcentral
GAUGAACGCUGGCGGCGUGCCUAAUACAUGCAAGUCGAGCGGACGGACGAGAAGCUUGCUUCUCUGAUGUUAGCGGCGGACGGGUGAGUAACACGUGGAUACCCUACCUAUAAGACUGGGAUAACUUCGGGAAACCGGAGCUAAUACCGUAUGAUCUUUUGAACCGCAUGGUUCAAAAGUGAAAGACGGUCUUGCUGUCACUUAUAGAUGGAUCCGCGCUGCAUUAGCUAGUUGGUAAGGUAACGGCUUACCAAGGCAACGCUGCAUAGCCGACCUGAGAGGGUGAUCGGCCACACUGGAACUGAGACACGGUCCAGACUCCUACGGGAGGCAGCAGUAGGGAAUCUUCCGCAAUGGGCGAAAGCCUGACGGAGCAACGCCGCGUGAGUGAUGAAGGUCUUCGGAUCGUAAAACUCUGUUAUUAGGGAAGAACAUAUGUGGAAGUAACUGUGCACAGCUUGACGGUACCUAAUCAGAAAGCCACGGCUAACUACGUG